CGCCUCUUGCUAACAAAGGAAGUACUAGAGGUCCCGCCUGCCCUGUGACCACAAAGUUUAACGGCCGCGGUAUCCUGACCGUGCGAAGGUAGCGUAAUCAUUUGUCUUUUAAAUAGAGACCUGUAUGAAUGGCAUAACGAGGGUUUAACUGUCUCCUUCCCCUAGUCAAUGAAAUUGAUCUGCCCGUGCAGAAGCGGACAUAAACACAUAAGACGAGAAGACCCUAUGGAGCUUUAGACAAAAGAUCAAACAUGUAAAGAAACCAAACCAACCAAAAGGAACACGAAGGCCACAAAACCCAACGUAAACUGAUCUAAAUGUCUUCGGUUGGGGCGA
Molecule: ribosomal RNA, 336 nt
Filed under: Anguilla anguilla (European eel)
Lineage: Eukaryota; Metazoa; Chordata; Actinopteri; Anguilliformes; Anguillidae
Description: partial large subunit ribosomal RNA
Rfam family: Bacterial large subunit ribosomal RNA
Source: RNAcentral